ACUAAAGUAGCUUCGUCUCUCCAGCUCCAAAAUGGCCGAGGGAAAGUAGCAGCCAAGGGCCCAAGGUGAUAUACAACACAAAGCUCAAAUUCAAAGCCUCUCGAGCUACACCCAAAGAAACAAUGGCGUCCCUGGCCGGAGCUGUCCAACUCCUGGUGGUCACGCAGCUGGUCGUCUCUGCGCUGACGCUGUUCCUAACAAUGGAAGCAUGUAGUUGCUUUUGCUUUGCAGACCGCUGCGGUAUAUCAACACUAGCCGUGGAACACUAAAACUCAAUAAUCUCGAAGCCUUAUUAGUCAUCGAGUUGCAGCAGCGACGUGCAAGCUAUGAAGUUGAUGACAACAUCUCCAAGGCUUCCGAUUCCAGGUCCAUGGGACAUGAUGUGCUCGAGCAUAUACUUGAUGGCACAGAGGAGCCGACGAAUCUACCGUUCGAGCUUCUGAAGAACAUCACUGGAAAUUUCUCCGAAGAGAGAGAAAUCGGUCAUGGUGGAUUCGGAAUGGUUUACAAGGGUGUACUCCGAAAUGGGAUUGUUGCUGUGAAGAGGAUUUUCAGCCACCACACAAUCAAUGAAAGGUUAUUUCACUGGUAGAAAAAAGGCCUUUAGUCCCGGCUGUGCAACCGGGACUAAAUAUGUGCGACUAAAG
Long non-coding RNA from Triticum aestivum (bread wheat), 647 nucleotides. RefSeq lists it as uncharacterized. NCBI's taxonomy places the organism in Eukaryota, Viridiplantae, Streptophyta, Magnoliopsida, Poales, Poaceae. The transcript is spliced from 3 exons. The record is from RefSeq and is a predicted model, not a curated record.